This 442-nucleotide ribosomal RNA is filed under the name uncultured bacterium. RNAcentral's name for it is "SSU rRNA". It matches the Rfam family "Bacterial small subunit ribosomal RNA", at positions 26 to 518 of the family's 1533-position model. The record is from RNAcentral.
AGAACGAACGCUGGCGGCAGGCCUCAAACAUGCAAGUCUAGGGGGUAGCAAUACCACCGGCGGACGGGUGCGUAACACGUGGGAAUAUACCUUUUGGUUCGGAACAACGCAGGGAAACUUGCGCUAAUACCGAAUGUGCCCUUACGGGGAAAGAUUUAUCGCCAAAGGAUUAGCCCGCGUCCGAUUAGCUAGUUGGUGAGGUAAUGGCUCACCAAGGCUCCGAUCGGUAGCUGUUCUGAGAGGAAGAUCAGCCACACUGGGACUGAGACACGGCCCAGACUCCUACGGGAGGCAGCAGUUGGGAAUCUUGGACAAUGGGGAAACCCUGAUCCAGCCAUGCCGCGUGAGUGAUGAAGGCCUUCGGGUUGUAAACUCUUUCGACGGGGACGAUAAUGACGGUACCCGUAGAAGAAGCUCCGGCUAACUUCGUGCCAGCAGCCGC